CCUAAUCUGGAGGCUCAGAGAGAUAAGUUUCUGACCUGGAUCUUGGCAUGGAGAUCUUGAAGCAUAGUGGCUAUGAUUUCCAGAAGAUUAAGACAAGGACAUCUCCUAGUUCAAGAUCAUCUGGGAUUAAAGGCAUGGAGGCACACACCUUUAAUCUGGGCCACACCCUCUGCUGGAGACCCACAGCCUUUAAUCUGGGCCACACCCUCUGCUGGAGACCUACAGCCUUUAAUCUGGGCCACACCCUCUGCUGGAGAUCUAUAUAAGGACAUUGGAAGAAGGAAGAUUUACUCACUCUUCCUUGCCUGCUUGCCUCGUGGGACUGAGAAACUGCUAGAUCCUUGGACUUCCAUCCACAGCUGCUGCUGAUCAUUGUUGGGGAGUUGGACUACAGACUGUAGUGUCACCCCUGCUGAUUCCUGUUUGCUAUCCUGACUCUACCGAACUGGACUGCGGGUGUAUCUGUGAAGUGUUUGCGGGUGGAUGGAGCUGCCGUGGCUGACCUGUGAACUGAACUGCCAAUUUUCAGACAACACAGAUGGGAGUUGCUCCAAAGAGCCAUUUCUAAACAGAUAGUUAGGUAGAACGAGCCUUUCCAAGUUUCCAGUCAGGAUUGAAGACCUGCAGCCCUCCAGGAAUCUUCCAGGCCUUCAGUGCCAACCUGGGACUACUGAGACACACAGCCUUGUGGACUGAGCAGCUGGGCUUCUCUGUCUCUCUGGUGGGAUACAGCCAUUAUCGGACCAAAUGGCAGGGUUUUUCUCUAUAACAGUCCUAGUUGUCCUGGAACUUGCUGUUGUAGACCAGGCUGUUCCUUGAGGUCACAGAGAUCAACCUGCUGGAAUGCUCAGAUUAAAGGCAUGCCACUAUCACCCAACUAAGAGGCCACGUGGAAAGAGGUAGCUCUCUAAGUGUUUGGGGGCACCAUCACAAGGAUCCGUAGGUCUAAGGGUACUAAGAGAAGACCUAAGAAGGUCAUGGCAAGACAGAAGUCAAGAAACGUGGAGAGAAUGGAUGAGAAUGGGAA
Apodemus sylvaticus (European woodmouse) is the source of this 1027-nucleotide long non-coding RNA. RefSeq lists it as uncharacterized. NCBI's taxonomy places the organism in Eukaryota, Metazoa, Chordata, Mammalia, Rodentia, Muridae. The transcript is spliced from 5 exons. The record is from RefSeq and is a predicted model, not a curated record.